GGCGCACGGGUGAGUAACACGUGACUAACCUACCCUGGAGUGGGGGAUAACUGAGGGAAACCUUAGCUAAUACCGCAUAACACCUACGGGUCAAAGGAGCAAUUCGCUUCAGGAGAGGGUCGCGGCCGAUUAGUUAGUUGGCGGGGUAAUGGCCCACCAAGACAGUGAUCGGUAUCCGGCCUGAGAGGGCGCACGGACACACUGGAACUGAAACACGGUCCAGACUCCUACGGGAGGCAGCAGUGGGGAAUUUUGCGCAAUGGGGGAAACCCUGACGCAGCAACGCCGCGUGGAGGAUGAAGUCCUUCGGGACGUAAACUCCUUUCGAUCGGGACGAUUAUGACGGUACCGGAAGAAGAAGCCCCGGCUAACUUCGUGCCAGCAGCCGCGGUAAUACGAGGGGGGCGAGCGUUGUUCGGAAUUAUUGGGCGUAAAGGGUGCGUAGGCGGUUUUGUAAGUCUUAUGUGAAAUCUAUGGGCUCAACUCAUAGACUGCAUGAGAAACUGCAGGGCUUGAGUAUGGGAGAGGUGAGUGGAAUUCCUGGUGUAGCGGUGAAAUGCGUAGAUAUCAGGAGGAACACCUGUGGCGAAAGCGGCUCACUGGACCAUAACUGACGCUGAUGCACGAAAGCUAGGGGAGCAAACAGGAUUAGAUACCCUGGUAGUCCUAGCCCUAAACGAUGACUGCUUGGUGUGACGGGUACCCAAUCCCGCCGUGCCGUAGCUAACGCGUUAAGCAGUCCGCCUGGGGAGUACGGUCGCAAGGCUGAAACUCAAAGGAAUUGACGGGGGCCCGCACAAGCGGUGGAGCAUGUGGUUUAAUUCGA
RNAcentral lists this ribosomal RNA (826 nucleotides) under uncultured Acidobacteriota bacterium. RNAcentral's name for it is "bacterial SSU rRNA". It matches the Rfam family "Bacterial small subunit ribosomal RNA", at positions 97 to 954 of the family's 1533-position model. Lineage: Bacteria; Pseudomonadati; Acidobacteriota. The record is from RNAcentral.